GAUGAAUGCUGGCGGCGUGCCUAAUACAUGCAAGUCGAGCGAACAGACGAGGAGCUUGCUCCUCUGACGUUAGCGGCGGACGGGUGAGUAACACGUGGAUAACCUACCUAUAAGACUGGGAUAACUUCGGGAAACCGGAGCUAAUACCGGAUAAUAUAUUGAACCGCAUGGUUCAAUAGUGAAAGACGGUUUUGCUGUCACUUAUAGAUGGAUCCGCGCCGCAUUAGCUAGUUGGUAAGGUAACGGCUUACCAAGGCGACGAUGCGUAGCCGACCUGAGAGGGUGAUCGGCCACACUGGAACUGAGACACGGUCCAGACUCCUACGGGAGGCAGCAGUAGGGAAUCUUCCGCAAUGGGCGAAAGCCUGACGGAGCAACGCCGCGUGAGUGAUGAAGGUCUUCGGAUCGUAAAACUCUGUUAUUAGGGAAGGACAAAUGUGUAAGUAACUAUGCACGUCUUGACGGUACCUAAUCAGAAAGCCACGGCUAACUACGUG
This 497-nucleotide ribosomal RNA is filed under the name uncultured bacterium. RNAcentral describes it as "partial 16S ribosomal RNA". It matches the Rfam family "Bacterial small subunit ribosomal RNA", at positions 28 to 507 of the family's 1533-position model. The record is from RNAcentral.